RNAcentral lists this ribosomal RNA (253 nucleotides) under uncultured bacterium. RNAcentral describes it as "partial 16S ribosomal RNA". It matches the Rfam family "Bacterial small subunit ribosomal RNA", at positions 524 to 776 of the family's 1533-position model. The record is from RNAcentral.
UACGUAGGGUGCAAGCGUUGUCCGGAAUUAUUGGGCUUAAAGGGCUCGUAGGCGGUCCAUCACGUCGGGAGUGAAAAGCUGGGGCUUAACCCCAGUCCUGCUUCCGAUACGGGUGGACUAGAGGUAGGCAGGGGAGAACGGAAUUCCUGGUGUAGCGGUGAAAUGCGCAGAUAUCAGGAGGAACACCGGUGGCGAAGGCGGUUCUCUGGGCCUUACCUGACGCUGAGGAGCGAAAGCGUGGGGAGCAAACAGG